CCUGACAGGGGAUGUGCUGGCGUCAAGGGGGCCCUCUAGGUGGGUUCCCAGACACUGCAGAGCCGCGCACUCCUUGCUAGCCUCCAAGGAAGAGUGAGCUAAAGGGGUUAAAAGGAAGAGCUUGCCCUGAACGAGCAGAUUUCUUUCACUUGCUGACCGAGAUGGUGGGAAUAGUGAAGCUGAGAAGGCAAACAGCAGUGUGGAAAUCUGAGGAGGCUGAGGAAUGAAAGCACUACCCACCACUGACGCAAGUUGCCAGGAAAGUCAUUUGGUAAAAUUGAUUCAUUCAGCAUGCCAAGCAGGAGAGGAAAAGAGCAGAGAAAUGUAAACAGAGAAAGCUUGGACCUGGAGAGCAAUGUUUUCCUUGGGAUGAAGUAAGCUGUUGAUGGAGGCGACAUUGGCUACCUAUUUCCAUAUACCAGGACCUACUAGAGGGUAAGGAGAUGAACUAAGAAGUUCAGCCGUUGACAAGAAGGUGGAAAAAGAGGAACACUUCUUCAUUGCUGGUGGGACUGCAAGCUGGUUUAACCACUCUGGAAAUCAGUCUGGUGGUUCCUCAGAAAACUGGACAUA
Long non-coding RNA from Mastomys coucha (southern multimammate mouse), 573 nucleotides. RefSeq lists it as uncharacterized. Lineage: Eukaryota; Metazoa; Chordata; Mammalia; Rodentia; Muridae. The record is from RefSeq and is a predicted model, not a curated record. The transcript has 4 exons.